UGGUUCUGGCAUNGAUGAAGAACGCAGCGAAAUGCGAUAAGUAGUGUGAAUUGCAGAAUUCAGUGAAUCAUCGAAUCUUUGAACGCACAUUGCGCCCUAUAGUAUUCUGUAGGGCAUGCAUGUUCGAGCGUCAUUUGUACCUUCAAGCUUUGCUUGGUGUUGGGUGUUUGUCCUCUCCCUGGUGUUUGGACUCGCCUUAAAACAAUUGGCAGCCAGUGUUUUGGUAUUGAAGCGCAGCACAAUUUGCGAUUCUGGCCUUAAAAUACUAGCGUCCAUAAGUACUUUCUCACUUUUGACCUCGGAUCAUGUAGGGAUACCCGCUGA
RNAcentral lists this unclassified non-coding RNA (324 nucleotides) under uncultured fungus. RNAcentral's name for it is "partial contains 5.8S ribosomal RNA and internal transcribed spacer 2". The stretch from base 1 to 133 matches the Rfam family "5.8S ribosomal RNA", at positions 22 to 154 of the family's 154-position model. Lineage: Eukaryota; Fungi. The record is from RNAcentral.